CAGUUAACCUACUUGGUCCGGUUCCAAAGCAUUUGAGUGCUUUUUAUAUAAACGAGACAGAGAGAUUUGGGCAUUUAUUCAUGGGUAAAUACCACUUAAAUAGAUAAGGACAAAAUAAAGAAACAGUAAUGAAUGAAAUAAGCAGAGAGAAAGAGAGAAAGAGACCAGAUAAGACCUCACACAUGCAAGCUGGAGUAGAAAAUAGAAGACAUCUGCGGGUUUUCUGCCCAUUUAGAUGCUUAUUCAACAGAGAAAGAUGAUUUUACAAGCGAUCCCUUCAGUCUAAGUGUUUUAUUUCAACAUAAUCGGCUGUCAUCCUACUGCAGCUCUGAUGAUCCAUUUACAGUACGGAGUAGCAAGGUUGUCUCCAUAAUAGCAGAAAGUGAUUUAAAACUCAGUGCCUUUUAGGUAAUCAGAGAGUAAAAGAUGUUUAUUUUCUAAGCUGAACAGGUAGAGGGAAGUAUUUAUAUGAUUUAUAACACUUUAGGAGGCUAUUAUGGAGAGUACGUGGUGCAGUUUAUCUUAUGAACAGAGUCGUAAACCCUUUAUUACUCAGAGGGUCCACUCUGCGUCAUGAUUUGGAUUCAUUUGCACAACAUAGUUUUAAGAUGCGUCUCCCUGUAUGGAAGAUAUAACAUGCCUACAUAACAACAAAUCAAACAAAGAAAUAAAGUGAUAUACUUUGUUAUCUAUUUAGCAGGUUUAUGCUGCUCUCUGCUGGACAACAAGGAAAUGCAAUGCACCUCUUCACUUUGUUUUCUUUGUUGUGAUUUGAUUUU
This is a long non-coding RNA of Sebastes umbrosus (honeycomb rockfish), 779 nucleotides long. RefSeq lists it as uncharacterized. The transcript has 2 exons. NCBI's taxonomy places the organism in Eukaryota, Metazoa, Chordata, Actinopteri, Perciformes, Sebastidae. The record is from RefSeq and is a predicted model, not a curated record.